GCGCGCAGGCGGGCCGAUAAGUGUCGUGUGAAAGCCCCCGGCUCAACCGGGGAACGGCGCGGCAGACUGUCGGUCUUGAGGCAGGCAGGGGCGAGUGGAACUCUAGGUGGAGCGGUGAAAUGCGUAGAUAUCUAGAGGAACGCCGGUGGCGAAAGCGGCUCGCUGGGCCUGUCCUGACGCUGAGGCGCGAAAGCGUAGGGAGCGAACGGGAUUAGAUACCCCGGUAGUCUACGCCGUAAACGAUGCGCACUAGGUUUAAGGGCUUCUGAGAGUCUUUGUGCCGUAGCAAAAGCGUUAAGUGCGCCGCCUGGGGAGUACGGCCGCAAGGCUAAAACUCAAAGGAAUUGACGGGGGCUCACACAAGCGGUGGAGCAUGUGGCUCAAUUUCGAAGCAACGCGAAGAACCUUACCUGGGUUUGACAUGCCUGGAUGCCGCCUUGGAAACAGGGUUAGGCUGCCCUUUGGGUGAAACAGGCACAGGUGCUGCAUGGCUGUCGUCAGCUCGUGCUGUGAAGUGUUGGGUUAAGUCCCCUAACGAGCGAAACCCUUGUCGCUAGUUAUUUUCUCUGGCGAGACUGCCCCGCAAAACGGGGAGGAAGGCGGGGAUGACGUCAAAUCAGCAUGGCCUUUAUGCCCUGGGCUACACACACGCUACAAUGGAUGGUACAAUGGGUGGCAAUGGAGUGAUUCGGAGCUAAUCCUAAAAACCAUUCCCAGUUCGGAUUGCAGGCUGAAACCCGCCUGCAUGAAGU
This 752-nucleotide ribosomal RNA is filed under the name uncultured Planctomycetota bacterium. Its description in RNAcentral is "bacterial SSU rRNA". It matches the Rfam family "Bacterial small subunit ribosomal RNA", at positions 567 to 1326 of the family's 1533-position model. The record is from RNAcentral. Lineage: Bacteria; Pseudomonadati; Planctomycetota.